AUUGAACGCUGGCGGCAGGCCUAACACAUGCAAGUCGAGCGAGCGGCGGACUGGUGAGUACUGUCUGGGAAUCUGCCUGAUGGCGGGGGAUAACUACUGGAAACGUUAGCUAAUCCCGCAUACCCUCCGAUGUACCCAGCUGGGAUUAGCUAGUAGGUGGGGUAAUGGCUCACCUAGGCGACGAUCCCUAGCUGGGCUGAGAGGAUGACAAGCCAAAAUGGGACUGAGACACGGUCCAGACGCCUACGUGAGGCAGCAGUGGGGAAGAGUGCACAAUGGGCGCAAGCCUGAUGCAGCCAUGCCGCGUGUAUGAAGAAGGCCUUAGGGUUGUAAAGCACUUUCAGCGAGGAGGCGUUACUCGCAGAAGAAGCACCGGCUAACGCCGUGCCAGCAGCCGCGGUAAUUC
Molecule: ribosomal RNA, 406 nt
Filed under: uncultured bacterium
Lineage: Bacteria
Description: partial 16S ribosomal RNA
Rfam family: Bacterial small subunit ribosomal RNA
Source: RNAcentral